RNAcentral lists this ribosomal RNA (460 nucleotides) under uncultured bacterium. RNAcentral describes it as "bacterial SSU rRNA". It matches the Rfam family "Bacterial small subunit ribosomal RNA", at positions 614 to 1068 of the family's 1533-position model. The record is from RNAcentral.
CUGGGAACUGCGUUUGUGACUGCAUCACUCGAGUACGGCAGAGGGAGGUGGAAUUCCGCGUGUAGCAGUGAAAUGCGUAGAUAUGCGGAGGAACACCGAUGGCGAAGGCAGCCUCCUGGGCCAGUACUGACGCUCAUGCACGAAAGCGUGGGGAGCAAACAGGAUUAGAUACCCUGGUAGUCCACGCCCUAAACGAUGUCAACUAGUUGUUCGGUGAGGAGACUCAUUGAGUAACGCAGCUAACGCGUGAAGUUGACCGCCUGGGGAGUACGGCCGCAAGGUUAAAACUCAAAGGAAUUGACGGGGACCCGCACAAGCGGUGGAUGAUGUGGAUUAAUUCGAUGCAACGCGAAAAAACCUUACCUAACCCUUGACAUGCCAGGAACUUGCCAGAGAUGGCUUGGUGCUCGAAAGAGAGCCUGGACACAGGUGCUGCAUGGCUGUCGUCAGCUCGUGUCGU